RNAcentral lists this long non-coding RNA (15575 nucleotides) under Gossypium barbadense (sea-island cotton). Its description in RNAcentral is "long non-coding RNA (GBAR_LNC021902)". Lineage: Eukaryota; Viridiplantae; Streptophyta; Magnoliopsida; Malvales; Malvaceae. The record is from RNAcentral.
UUCAGUCCUUCAUUUCGGGUUUUAUAACCCCUUUUUACAUCCUUUUUCUAUUAUUCUAUCCUGUUUUUUUUGUCUUGAUCUUGCAGGGCAUGGAGGUGCUGGUAGUGGAGGAGGAGCAUGCAGCGGUAGAUGGUGUCAGACGCGUGGACACGCGAAGCCAGCGAUUGGCGAGUAGCGGCGGUGGGCGUGCGCAGGAGGUGGCAGCAACAACAUGCGGCUGAGGUUUCUUUUUGUGUUUGAAAGUUGGUGUAGUUUUGGGCCAUUCGGGCCUCUAGGGUUUUUAUUAAUAUUGGGCAUUUGGGCUUGUAGUUUUUGGGUUUAAAUUGGCUGAAAAUGGGUUGCUUUUGUUUUUAUUAUUUGGGUCUAUUUUGCUGGUAUGGGCCCGGGUAUUUUAUUUUCUGAUUUAGGCCAUAUUGGCCUGCUUUAAUGGACUGUGGCAUUUUAUUUAUUUUGUUUUAUUUUUGGCACUUGGCCCGGCAAAUUUGGGCUUCUACAGUUGCCCCUCUUUGCUCGUUUUCGUGUAACGAGAACAGAGCAAAGACCAAGAAAGACCAAAUUUGCCUGGUCUCGCCGAGGCUUGACUUUUUGGUGCUCAUCUUCUUCAAGUAGCCUUAUUCUGUUCUGCUGUGUCUCGUUGCUUCAAUCCACUUCACUGCGCUCCGGAGAAACAUGACUUAAAUCUAUUCUGCUGCAACUCCAUGGGGAUGAGAUUUGUUGUUUUCUUCGUCUGCUCCACUACUGCUUAGGGAGAUAAGACUGAAUAUGAUCUGCUCCGCUACCACUUAGGGAGAUAAGACUGUAAUCUCCGAUCUAUUCCACUGUCAAAUGCAGGGAGAUAGAGUUAUCAGCUUCAAUCUACUCCACUGUAGUCACAGGGAGGUAAAAUCUGCCAUCUUUGAUCUUCAAUCUAUUCCACUGCCAAAUACAGGGAGAUAGAGUUAUCGGCUUCAAUGUACUCCACUGUAGUCAAGGAGGUAAAAUCUGUCAUCUUCGAUCUGCUUCGCUGUCAACUACAGGAAGGCAAGAUCUACAAUCUUCGAUCUACUUCACGCCAAUACAUGAAGACAAGAUCUGCUUUCUGCGAUCUACUUCGCCACCAAUAUGGGAAGACAAGAUCUGCAUCUUCGAUCCACUUCCUACCAAUAUAGGAAGAUAGGAUCUGCUACCUUCGAUCUACUUCACGCCAAUACAUGAAGACAAGAUCUGCUUUCUGCGAUCUACUUCGCCACCAAUAUGGGAAGACAAGAUCUGCAUCUUCGAUCCACUUCCUACCAAUAUAGGAAGAUAGGAUCUGUUAUCUUUGAUCUACUUCACGCCAAUACAUGAAGACAAGAUCUACUUUCUGCGAUCUAUUUUGCCACCAAUAUGGGAAGACAAGAUCUGCAUCGUCGAUCCACUCCCUACCAAUAUAGGAAGACAAGACCUACUAUCUUUGAUCUACUUCACGCCAAUACAUGAAGACAAGAUCUGCUUUCUGCGAUCUACUUCGCCACCAAUAUGGGAAGACAAGAUCUGCAUCGUCGAUCCACUUCCUACCAAUAUAGGAAGACAAGACCUACUAUCUUUGAUCUACUUCACGCCAAUACAUGAAGACAAGAUCUACUUUCUGUGAUCUACUUCGCCACCAAUAUGGGAAGACAAGAUCUGCAUCUUUGAUCUACUUCCUACCAAUAUAGGAAGAUAGGAUAUGUUCCUUUGACCUAUAAAAUCAAUUUUAUGGACCUAUUUACGUCUAGUGUUUAGGAUGACAUGAUCAGAGUGGAUCAAAUGCUCCUAACUAGAUGUGUAUGAAUGAUAUUUGUAGAAUGUCAUGAGAAUGAUCCAUUUUUGAUGCUUAGGUUGUCAUUCCUCAUUGUUCAUCAAGGUUCCAUCACUGAUGCCUUCUUGUUCAGCCAGUACCUUUGACAGAAAACCUAAAGAAAUAGACGCUAUUUAGACUAUCAUUUCUCAAAUGUUUCCAACCCUUAGGUUUGGUUAGUUCUAAACAAUAGUCCUGUUUCAAGUCCUCGUAUUAUUUAGAAACUUUCAGAGUAAUAUGCAGAACUCCUUCUGCAUGUGUAUUGUCAGUCCAUUAAUCGUUAUUUCAAUGAAAAAUGCUUGAGAAAGAUUAUCAAAAUGGACAAAAUGAAAUUUUGUUGAGAGCAAAUCUCUAAACAAACAAAUCAAGAUAGCAAAUUUUGCUGAGAUAUGAGAUGAAUAAGAUGAAAAAGAUUAUCACAAUGAAUAAGAUGGAACUUUAUUGAGAGCAGAGCUCUAAAUGAACAAAUAGCAAAUUUUGCUAAGAUGUAAAUAAGAUAAAAAAAAGGUGCCCCAGAUAUCGUAGCAUGAGCUUCUCUGCCCCAAACUUCUUAAGGACCCUUUUGAACUUGAUAUGUGUUUAGAAGUCCUAGAAGGCUUUGUUGAUGCCCCAAGAUGUAGCAUCUUUCCUUCUUGUUAAUUCGAAGAAGACAAAACUACUUUAUGCUUCAUCUUUGAUCGAAAAUUUGAAUUGCCCAUUCCUGGGUUUUCAAUUCAAAACCCCUUUGGUUUCAAGGUGCCCUUUGCGGGUUUUCGCCUUGGCCUCUCCUUUUUUUUUUUUUUAGGCAAAGUACCUCUUCACUGAAUCCGAAUUCACAGGAUUGGGCAAGCUUUUGCCAUCCAUCCCAGUUAGAAUUAAUGCCCCUCCUGAAAAGGCCUUUUUUACUACAUAAGGUCCCUCCCAGUUUGGCAUCCACUUUCCUCUGAAGUCUUUUUGCAUGGGAAGGAUCUUCUUCAGUACCAAGUCCCAUUCAUGGAAGUUUCUAGGACGAACUUUCUUAUUGUAAGCUCGCAUCAUUCGUUUCUGGUACAUUUGACCAUGACGGAUAGCUCUUAACCUCCUUUCUUCAAUCAAGUUCAGCUGAUCAUAUCGAGAUUGGACCCAUUCUGCUUCGUCUAACUUUAGUUCUGAAAAAACUCGGAGGGAGGGAAUUUCAACCUCAAUUGGUAGCACUGCCUCCAUUCCAUAAACCAAAGAGAAUGGUGUUGCCCCGGUAGAAGUCCUGACGGACGUUCGAUAAGCAUAGAGGGCGAAUGGCAACUUCUCGUGCCAAUCUCUAUAGGUCUCAGUCAUUUUCCCCACAAUCCUUUUGAUAUUUUUAUUGGCUGCCUCCACCGCACCAUUCAUUUUUGGACGGUAUGGCGAUGAGUUGUGGUGCUUGAUAUUGAAUUGACUACAAACCUCUGCUAUCGUGCUAUUAUUCAAAUUUAAUGCGUUGUCAGAUAUAAUCCUUUCGGGCAUUCCAUACCGACAUAUGAUUUCCUUCUUUAAAAACUUGCUGACAGCUGCCUUUGUGAAAUUGGCGUAAGAAGUAGCCUCUACCCACUUAGUAAAGUAGUCAAUCACUACAAAAAUGAAACGAUGUCCGUUUGAAGCCUUUGGCGAUAUCGGCCCAAUGACGUCCAUGCCCCACAUGGAGAAAGGCCAUGUGGAAGUCAUGACGUGAAGAGGUGAUGGAGGCACAUGGAUUUUGUCUCCGUAAAUCUGGCAUUUAUGACACUUCUUAGCAUAUUUGAUGCAGUCUCCUUCCAUGGUAGACCAAUAAUAUCCAAAUCUCAUGAUUUGUCUGGCCAUUGUGAAACCGUUAGCGUGUGUUCCACAAAUACCAUCAUGGACUUCUUCCAAGAUCUGUUUGGCCUCCACAGCGUCCACACAUCUUAACAGCACCUGAUCUUUUCCUCUUUUAUACAGGAUCUCUCCAUCUAAGACGUAAUCACUGGCCAGCCUCCUCAACAUUCUCUUGUCAUUCUCAGUUGCUUGGUUUGGGUAUUCACGAUUUUUUACGUAUCGCAAUAUAUCCUGAUACCAAGGGUUGUCGUCCUUUUCUUCUUCUUCGUCAAUGUUACAACAGUGGGCUGGAGCAUCAUAAAUGCUCAUUUGGAUAGGCUUCACAUCCUCUGGUCUAUUUACUUUGAUUAUGGAAGCCAAUGUAGCUAAAGCGUCGGCCAUCUGAUUCUCGUCUCGUGGGAGAUAACAAAAAGUGAUGUCGUCAAACUCCUCAAUCAAUUCUAGGACUAUCCUUCGGUAACUAAUCAACUUAGGGUCUCUUGUUUCCCAUUCGCCUUUGAGUUGAUAAAUUACCAAUGCCGAAUCCCCAUAUACCUCAAGUACCUUGAUUUUGCGUUCCAUAGCCGCGCGGAUUCCCAUGAUACAUGCUUCAUAUUCCGCCAUGUUAUUUGUGCAAUCAAAAUCUAGUUUACUGGUGAAAGGAUAAUGAUCACCGUUUGGAGAUACCAAGACUGCCCCAAUCCCGUUGCCCAUGGCAUUUGAGGCUCCGUCAAAAUUUAAUUUCCAAGUAUUGCCUUCUUGUGUGCUUGCUUCAAUAGUUGCCACAUACAUCAGAUCCUCAUUUGGGAAAUCAAAGUUCAAAGGCUCAUAAUCGUCCAGGGCUCUACUUGCUAGAAAAUCUGCUAUCGCGCUCCCUUUUACAGCCUUUUGAUUCACAUAGGUUAUGUCAAAUUCAGAUAGUAGAAUUUGCCAUCGGGCCAUCUUUCCGUUUAGAGCAGUUGACUCCAUCAUGUAUUUCAGAGGAUCUAACUUUGAGAUUAACCAAGUCGUAUGGUACAACAUGUAUUGUCUCAAUCUCCGAGUAGUCCAAACCAAUGCGCAACAUAAUUUUUCAAUUGGCGAAUAUCUAGCUUCGCAUUCAGUGAACUUCUUACUAAGAUAAUAGAUCGCUCUUUCUUUUCGUCCUGACUCAUCAUGUUGGCCGAGCACGCACCCCAUGGAAUUCUCAAAUACUGCCAAGUAUAGUAUCAGUGGUUUGUCAGGGCAAGGUGGCAUCAGUACUGGGGCGUUGGACAAGUAAUGUUUAACUCUUUCGAAAGUUUUCUGGCACUCCUCAUCCCAUACACCUGGAUUGUGUUUCCUAAGAAGACGGAAUAUGGGGUCACAUUUCUCAGUUAAUUGUGAAAUGAAUCGAGCGAUGUAAUUUAGUCUUCCUAGGAAACCCCGAACUUCUUUUUGAGUACUUGGCGGAGGUAAUUCUUGUAUGGCCUUAACUUUGUCUGGGUCAAUUUCAAUUCCCUUUUCGCUGACUAAGAAUCCUAGCAAUUUUCCUGAUCUAGCCCCGAAAGUACACUUGGCUGGGUUAAGUUUUAGCUGGAACUUCCUUAACCUCAGAAACAGUUUUCUCAGAACUUGCACGUGUUCCCUUUCUGUUCUGGAUUUUGCGAUCAUGUCAUCAACAUAAACUUCUAUCUCUUUAUGCAUCAUAUCAUGGAAUAAUGCUACCAUGGCUCUCUGAUACGUUGCUCCCGCAUUUUUCAAUCCAAAAGGCAUCACUUUAUAACAAAACGUCCCCCACAUCGUUAUGAAUGUGGUCUUCUCCCUGUCUUCAGAAAGCAUCUUAAUUUGGUUGUACCCGGAGAAACCAUCCAUGAAAGAGAACAGUGAGUAUCCGGCCAUGUUGUCUACCAAGGUAUCGAUAUGAGGCAGUGGGAAAUUAUCUUUUGGGCUGGCUUUGUUCAAGUCUCUGUAGUCCACACACAUUCGCACCUUCCCAUCUUUCUUAGGAACAGGGACUAUAUUGGCUACCCAUUCUGAGUACUUGACCACCUGUAAGAAACCAGCAUCAAAUUGCUUCUUAACUUCUUCCUUUAUUUUUAGCAAGACGUCAGGCCUCAUCCUUCGGAGCUUUUGUUGGACUGGUUUGCAUUCUUCCUUUAUAGGCAAUCGGUGUACCACGAUAUCAGUACUUAACCCUGGCAUAUCUUGGUAGGACCACGCGAAGACAUCUUUAAACUCUCGAAGCAACUCAACAAGGUCUUGCCUUGUUUCCUUGGCAAUGCAAGCGCCAAUUUUUACCUCUCUGCCCUCUUCUAAGAUCACAACUUCUACUGAUUCCUUAUAGGGUAGAAUUUGUUUUUCUUUUUCUUCCAUCAUUCUUAACAAAUCCGGAGAUAAAACGCUGUCUUGGCCACCUUCAAAAUCUUGAGGAUCAUCUAUACUUAUGUCUUGCUCAAAUAGAGACUCUGAAUUAGUAACAGAGUCGCUCAUCUCGUUGAUAUCUGAAGACCUGUUAUUGGAACAAAUGGAGGCCCAAAUAAAAGAAUCUAAGAAUACUUGUAUGCAUAGUAUGAUUAUAAAGGGAAUGAAAAGAAUGAAAGAAUAUUUGCUCAAGAUGAAACUGAAUGAUAAGUUUUCACUGAAAUUAGAUUUUGGACAUGUGCCUUUUACAAAAGAUUCUUAUCACCCCCAGGCUUAGGGCAACAAGUGUUCUGAAUAUUACUCUGAAUUAGUUCUAAAUGUUACAGGGAUCUCUUCUGCAGUCCAGUUAUUCAGAACACUUCCAGGUUCGUAAGGACGAAUGCCCGAUAAAUUCCUUUCCACCCUUUCUUCCGCGGAUAUGGCAUUGAUGUCCAACAUCUCAAUCCUUCCUUCUGUAACCUCAUCAUUCUCUUCAGGGUGGACAAUUCCCCCUGAAACAAAAGUCUUAGAUAUAUGGGGAAAGGUCAUCGGUCCCCACUUGACUUCUAUCCCGCCCAAAUGUGCUCUUCUCUUUUCUUGCUUUUUCUCCAUCUCUUUCCUCCUUUCCCUCGCAUUAGGCUUAUAUCCCAAACCAUAACGAUCCUGCUUGUUAACUAGGAUCGGUACUCCAACCCUCCCCUGGAGGUAUUUUCCCAAUCCUCUUCCAGGCAAUGCUCCCUUUCCCAUCGUUAGCUGUAAGCUCAUUGACGUAGCUUUGGAUAUCUUAGGUUCUGGGAUUUUGCUCAUCUCGAUGACAAAUGUGGCAUUUACGAAUUCCAAUGAUCGGAAUGAACAUUCUAUCGCUUCACUAUCAGCCUCUAUGUAUGGCAUAUCAUCGGUGACUGAUGCAAUGAUGUCUUCUUCUGCACCUAUAGUCACCAAUCGACCCUCUAUCACCAAUUUUAACUUUUGGUGAAGUGACGAUGGUACAGCUCCUGCAGAAUGGAUCCAAGGCCUCCCCAAUAGGCAAUUGUAAGAUGGUUUAAUAUCCAUUACCAAAAAGUCCACCUCGUAUGUAUUUGGACCAAUCAAUAGAGGUAUCUCGAUUCUCCCCAUCACUUUUCUCUCAGUGCCAUCAAAUGCUCUCACUAUAUUUUGGCAUGAUUUCAUGUGAGAACUAUCCACGGGUAGCCUGUUUAAUGUGGACAGGGGUAAAAUAUUCAGGGCCGAUCCAUUGUCCACGAGUACCGCCGGUAGUAUACACCCCUUGCAACGGGCAGUGAUGUGCAAGGCCUUGGUAGAUCCCAUACCACCUGGCGGGAUCUCAUCAUCGUUGAAGAAGAUGAAGUUAUCGGCAUUUAUAUUGUUAACCAGGCGAUCCAAUUUGUUCACUGAGAUAUCUUUAGCGACAUAAGUCUCAUUUAGCACUUUUACCAACGCAUUACGAUGUAUCUCUGAACUUAGAAGUAACUCGAGCACUGAGAUGCGAGCGGGUUGCUUAUGCAAUUGUUCCACCACGCUAUACUCGCUAUGCCUCAAGAAUUUUAGGAAUUCUCUAGCCUCAUUUUCAGUCACCGGUGUGUUAAUAUGCGGUUCAAUUCCGAUCGUCUUCGUUUUAUCUUGUUCAACCGCCAAGGCUUUUCCUUUUAUAGGCUCCCUUUUUGUAUUUCCCAGGUCGUAACAUUUUCCACUACGCGUAUAGAAGCCUGCGCCAUUACCCCAUUCUGAAGCAUUUAUCGGGUUCUCCUCUCCCGUAAUCAUCACAUUGCAAUCGUAAUUCCAAGGAACCUUUUUGCUAUCCUUGUAAGGAAAGGCUACAGGUUUUUGGAUUAUGACCCUUGGCGCCAGUUGUAUUCCAGAUCCUGUACUCGUUGGCCUUGAAAUAAUCACCACUGGGUGAUUUGAGGCCUUUCCCGUAGGCCCCUCCUCCGAGGCAUAAACUUCUCCAUUUUCAAGUCCUUUGAUCUCUUCAUAAAAUUCUAGCUCUUUGUUGUUCAUCAGAUUUUGCACCAUGGCCUUGAAUUCAGUGCAGUUUUGAAUGUCAUGGUCUUCUUCAACAUGAAACUCGCAGUACGUCUUCGUUCCUUCGGGCCUUUCUUUUGAAUCUUGUUUGAUGAGACCUCCUUCUAUCAUUUGUCUCCAGACCCAACUCAAUGGGGUUUUUAUCUCUGCAAUGUCAGUUUUGAUUCUCUUUUUCUCACCUUCGAUUAUUGUGUUUACCCCUUUAUCAGCAUGGUUGGGUAACGGAUUCGCUGCUACGUUGGGUCCUAAUGGGUUGUCAAACUUCACAAUCCCCAUCUUAAUGAACCUUUCCACCGCCUUUUUAAACCCAGUGCAGUUCUCAAUUGAGUGUCCUGGUAUCCCUGCAUGGUAUUCACAUUGGGCAUUCGUGUCAUACCAUUUGGGAUAUGGAGGUUGCAUGGGCUCGAGAUAAAAUGGAGAUACUAUGUGUGCAUCAAAUAACUUCUGAUACAGUUCUCCGUAUGUUAUUAGAAUGGGUGUGAAUUGAAGUCUCUCUGUGUUAGUCCUUGUGUUGGGCCUUGUGUUGGGUUCCUGCCUCGAGGGGGCUUGGUGACUAGUGGUUAUCAUUUUUGGAGGGCCAACAGUAAUCGGUUUUGAAUGACUCUUGCUAUAUGUGCUUACGUUGUUUACUUCGCCCUCUUUUUUCCUUGGGGCUGGUCUUUUGAAGUUUUCCCCCGUGUCAAUCUUACCGCUCCUUACCGCGUUCUCAAUCAUUUCACCGGACAUUACCAUAUCCGAGAAGCUCUUGGUAGCACUCCCCAACAUGUGGUUGAUGAACGAGGCUUUCAGAGUGUUGAUAAACAACAUGGUGACCUCUUUUUUCCAAAAGGGGUGGCUGGACUUGUGUUGCCACUUCUCUCCAUCGUUGGGCGUACUGCCUGAAAUUCUCGCUAGGCUUUUUCUCCAUGUUUUGUAACGUAAUUCGAUCGGGUGUUAUAUCCGUUACAUGACUGUACUGCUUCAUAAAAGCUUGCGCCAAGUCUCUCCAUGAACUAACUUUAGCACGACUCAGUUGGUUGUACCAUUUGGCUGCAGAUCCGAUCAAACUGUCCUGGAAGCAGUGGAUUAACAGCUGAUCGUUGUUGACGUAUCCUGUCAUUCUUCGACAGAACAUAGUUAUAUGAGCUUCAGGACAACUAGUUCCAUUAUAUUUUUCGAAUUCCGACAUUUUGAACUUAGGUGGGAGUACUAAAUCAGGGACCAAACUCAGAUCCUUGGCGUCAACCCCGCGAUGAUAGUCAAUGUUCUCCAUGACUCUAAAUUUUUCCUCUAACCAUCUACAUCGGUCCUCUAGUUGUUUUGGCAGGUUCGUUCUUGUUUUUUCUGUUUCUGCCACGUCAUCGAGGUUCGGGACCACAGGAUUAGUGGGAUUAUCCCCGGGAUUAGAACCCGAGCCCAUUUGAAAAUACAAUGGUACCGAGGCACCAGCCAGAUAUUGAGGUCUAAUGGUAACCGGUACCCUCUGUGGGUACACCUCUGGUUGUGCUUGGAUGUUAGUUGGGGUGAAACCUGGAGGAUAAACAGGGUCAUCGUGAUCUUCCCCAGCAUCAACUACGGGGUCUUUUCCUUUGUUAUUUCCUCCAGCCAAUAACUGCUUUAAUCGGUUCAUCACAGUGUUCUGGGAUUCUAACAUGUCCUGCUGGAUUUUUUCCAGUCGUUCAUGCAUCUGAUCUUGCAUCUCUCGUUGCAACUGUUCCAAUCUUUCCAACCUUUGAUCCAUUGCUUUUGUUUGGCGACGAGUACCGUAGUGAUAUUUGAUUAGAUUUUGGUUGGUUUCCAGGGUAACUGUCAUAAUUUAAUUUUAUUAGGGUCAUUUUAUGAGAUGUAAUGCAAAUGUAUGAGAUGAAUGCAAAAAAGAGGCAUUGAUUCGAAUUCAAUUUCAUUAGAAAACUCAACUAGAAAGCAAAUUUCUUUACAUAAAAUAAAUUACAUAUACGGCUUCGCCUUUAUACCCAAAACCUUAACCUUCCUAAGAAGCCAAGCUAAAUUUCGACCUCGGCUUGAUUCUGACUCAUAUUUUAAACUCAAUACAUCGGCCUGAACUGCUAAUGUUUGCAGAUGAUCAGCCACUUCCCGCACUUGAGUCACAGCUUCGCCCAUAACGUAAUCUCUAUCUCUAAUCUGCCUUUGAGAAUGAUGGAAUUGCUCUUGCCAUUGAUCAUUACUCCUCUCAAGAAGCUCCAUUCGUAGCUCAGAAUUGUGUAAUGCGUCCUCAAGCUCCUCUACCUUUCCUUUCAGUUCUUCGAUCUUAUUUAAGCUUGCUCUUAAUUCGAUCAUGGAGUUGCGACUACGGUACGAGUGAAGUGACUUUUCUAGCUCUGCCACCUUGGCCUUUAAUCCUGCCUUCUCAUUUCGGCACUCUAACAAACUCCUUUCCAAAGCGUUUUCUCGAGCUCGAGCAUCUUGAAAUUUAUUUUCCCACUGAUUGGCCCUAUUCUUUUCCUCAUUGAUCUCUUGUCGCCACUGCUCUGAUGUUUUACCCAGACCGACAGUUCUCAUCGACAAUCGCAGCUUCUUGUAAUCUGUUUUUAGACUAUCCAAAUCCUCUUCAGCUUUGUUCUUUCCCUUCCUUAAUUUCUCAGCUUCUAGCUUGUGGAUAUCGAUGUCUAAUCCCAAAUGCACUCUUUCUUCUUCUAACUGUUCUAUCCUCUUUCCCAACUCAGAAUUUCUUUUCUCAAAGUCUCGUUUGAUGAUCUCUAAUUCUGACGGAACUACUUGUAGAUGCUCUUCUAUAGACUGAACGCAAUCUUCCCUCGGCUUAGGGAUGUUGUCAUUGACUCUUUUACUCCACCACCCAUAAUAUUCUGAAGUUGCCAUCGCUCCUACGGUAAAUCUUUUCAUUCGGUGAACCUGUUUCCAAGCGUUAGAUAUUUCUCGAGUUUUUCUCUUGUAGUUUUCAUCCUUAUAAGAAAACUCACAUUGAGCCAACCCUUGUGUUGCUGGUAUGAACUGUCUCGAUCUAUAUUGUCUUAAUACGAGUAAAGGGGCAUAACCGAUAGCUCCCCAAAUUCCGAGUAAAGGGACCCAGUCGAAAUCACCACAUCGAUACAGGAUCUCGUCGGGUACCAUCCAAGGAGCUUUCCAUUCAACGUCAUCCUCCUGAAAAUUUUGGAGAAUCGCCAUCCACUUCUCUUCCGUGAUGUCGUCUCGUCUUGGUGUAGCAACUUGUUCCUUCAAUGGAGAAUAGUCUUCUGAGAAGACUCGAUAGGAGACAUUUUCCACCUUCCAAAAGUGACUAUGGAACCACACCAAUAGUAGCUGCGCGCAUCCGAUGAACCUUCCCCCCCUGCUCUUCGACAUGCACUUAGAGAUCUGAAGGUUUCUGCUAAGAUUGCCGGGAUGGGCGUGACUCCUUUACUAAGCCGAUCGAACAAAUCAGAGACGGCCUCAUCUACGUGCCCUAAAGCUCUAGGGAAAAUUACCAAUCCAUAGAUACCUAGAGCGAAGACAUCCACUCUUUUCUUCACAUCAGGGUGUGCUAAUACUAAAUCUCGCAAGCUUUUCCAAGGAACGCAUUUACUGUCUCCUUUCUGUUGGAUUCGGGCAGUGACCCACUGUUCGCUCAUCCCUGUAAUGCUCAUCAAUUUUUUUAAUAAUGUCGGGACACUAGCAGCUCUAGAAUAGGCUUUGUCAAUUUGAAUCUUUGGACACCGAAGCAGGGUCGUAUAUUCUUCCAUGGUGGGAACCAAGUCCACUUUUCCAAAAGUGAAACAACUGUAAGCAGGAUUCCAAAACUGGGCUAGGGCUCGGAAUAAAUGCUUGUCCACUUUGAUACCAAGUAGGUAAGGCAAGUCCCCGUAGUCACAGUAAAACAUCUGCUUGGUCCCGUCGUCCCAUUGAUCCCAUAUUUCCUUCAUUUCUCGAAGAUCAUUUUGGAUUACGCUGAUACGGGUGAAGUCCCAUAACUCUGAUACGUACCCUUCUGCAAGACUAUCGCCUUUCUCUCUCCACAUCGUCUCAGCCCAUAAUCGUACGGCUGCAUUGUCUUCUACUUUAUCAAGAAACCUCUUUUCCAUUAUAAGCUUUCUAUCUAUACUGAACGUGAAUCGACACCUCUUUUGAAAUGAAAAUGCCAUGCAAUCACAAACAAAGCAAAUUAGAUCUAGGAUUUAAAGUAAACAAUAAUAAAUAAAGCAUCUAUUCGGUAAGCACUAGGGUCUGGAAUAGCUCUAUCUCGGUGGGUUCUUAUGGCUCGCUAUGUGUGGUUUGGUUCUAAAGUAAGGGUACCUGAACCAGCAGAUUCCUCGAUCCUCACCCAUUAUAGGCUCAUAUGGACCGAGUUCAGUUCAGGGGAAUACAUUUCCCUAUGGCCAUGCGGAGAUGAAAAUCUCACGAAGACAUAGGUACGGAUGUAUCCCGGAAGCGAUUCACUAUCCCAUGCGGAGGUGAAAACCUCACGAAGGCGUAGUUUCUCACUCCCACUUAAAAGGUGUGACCAGCGGUCAUGCAAUGCAAUGUGCAGAGGUAUAAAAUAAAAUACAGAACACGAUAAAAAAAUAUAACUCAAAACAAAAGAGAUGCAAUGAGAGGAUCGUAAAUUUAAAUCGAAUUUUCCAUUUUCAGCAAAAAGACAAUAAAUAAUCAACACGUGGCUUGACUCUCUUAUUGUCCCCAGUGGAGUCGCCAAGCUGUUGACACCAUUUUUUGGAUGAAAACGGGGUCGACUUGGAUUUUGAAAAAAAGAAUAAAAACGGGAGUCGCCACCAAUCUUUUUUGAUGAGGUGUGAUCGGGUCACCUUUAAAAGCAGCUGUUUUUAAUAAACAAUUUAAUUUUAUUAAAACAAUGAGUUUGGUCUACGAAAUUUAGAAAAAUGAGUUCGGGAGUCGGUUACGCACGAGGAAGGAUUAGCACCCUCGAUACGCCCAAAAUUGGUACCUAGUUGAUUACUUAAUGUCUUGAUGUCGAAAAUAAAAACUCGAAAAGAAUUUUAAAAUACGAUCCUUAAAAGAAACUCUGAUAACGUGAAUUGAAAUAUAAGAUUCUCUUGUUCUUAAGGAAUAUCACAUCCAGCACGUUAGGACCCGAUACUCUAAACCAUCGAACCAAGAUUACCUUAUAGUUUAAUGAAACCAUACUUUGAAGCUUUAAGAGGAUAUUUGGCUAUUUAGUCAAACGAGAAAUCGAAACCCAGCACGUUAGGGCACGUUUUCUCGAGUUUCCAAACGCGAAAUAUUGCCUUAUUUAGAAACUUUUGCUUUGGAAUAAUAGCGAAUCCGAUAUUUAAACAACGUUGAUUAUUUGUUUGGAUUUAAAAAAACAAUUUAUUGGAUAAAUGCACCGAGGCUUGAUUCGUGAGGCGAUGAUAUGAAAAAAGAUAACAAUGAGCAUGAAACAAAUAUACAUGGAUUUAUCAAGUAAACAAAUUAAAAUAAACAUCACGACAAUACAUCAUUUAAAUAAUAACAUCGACAAAUAACCAAUGAAUUUAAUCAUAUAUAACAAUCUUUAAAAAUAAGGAAGAUAUAAAGUAAAUUAAAACAAAUAAAAAUGUAAACAAACUUUAGAAUGAUAAUAAAUGAAUUUAAAAUAAAUAAUGUAGAAAAGAAUUUUAAAAUCCGUAAUACACGAGGCAAAUUAAAAAGAUGAUAUAUAUGAAUAAUUUCUGUCCUUCAAAAAAAUAUAUAUAUAUAUGCAAAAGUGUAAAAAAAAACGUAUGCAAACAAACCUAAAAUAAAUAAUAAUAGAAUCAUUUAAAUAAAUAAAAAGGAUUUAAAAUGGAUGAUAAAUAACAGGACUUAAGGUAGUUACGGUAAAAAUAAUUUCAAAUGAAUGAUGUAUAAAAGAAAAAAGAAUAUAUAUAUACAUAUAUACAUAUUUAUAUAUAAAUAAAUGGCUUAAAAUAGGUAUUACAAAAAAAUAAAAGAAAAUUUAAAAUGAAUAACCUACAGAAUAGCUUGAAUUAAAAGUUAUAUAUGAAUAUAAAAUAUGUAAUAGUUUAAUAUAAAUAAUUUAUAUAAAAACAUAUAAAGUAAACAACGUAUAGAAAGUUAACAAACAACACAUGAAAGCAUUAAAAUAGAAAUGAGACAAGUUCCUUAAAAAAGGGCUAAGUUUAAGGUAAAACGAAUUUGUAAAGCAAUCUUAAAUGCAUAAUACAUAAGUCAGCUUAAAGAAUUAAUAAAAAUCUAAAAUAAAUAACAUGUGAAACUGUUUAAGAUAAAUGAAUAAAUAAAAGUAUAUGUAUAUGAAAAAUCAAUAAAAUAUAAAAAGAUUAAGUAUCGAAUUAGAAAAGAUUAAAAUCAAGGGUCCUAUCUAAAAAAAAUAAAAAGGGACGCAGGGCCUAAAAUAAGGCACACGUGAAAGAACAGGGGUUAAACAUGCAAUUAUUCCCCAACUCUGAAGAUGUAUGUCGAAUUUCGAAGCACCAGAGAACCGAGGGCUUAAUCAAAAAAACAAAAGAAAAUUAAACAGUUAAAUCUAUGAAAAGAUAAAAUAAUAAAAGGGGCCCGAGGUAAACAAGCCCAAAAUUGAAGGGACCAUGGGAGCGAAUAGCCCAUAGGAUCAAAACACACAGGUUCCCCCUAGACUGCGCCGUUUUGGGGCGUGGGGGUGUGUGUGUGAGGGUACAAAACGGCAGUGUUUUGCAUGGCCAUUAAAGCCCCAAAUUUUUUUCAUUUUUAACUUCAUUUUCUUUCAAAAAAAAAGACAGAGAGUCUUCCUACUCUCUCUCUCCCUUUUCUAUUUUUCCUCCCUUGCAGAUAGGGUUUCGAGACCCAUCCUCGCUGCCAUCGUCUGACCGCCGCACCACCACCAUACUCGGUGGCCGGCAAUGCACAAGAAUAGGCCAUUCGGCCUUGUUCCAAAAGAGUUUGAAGGCCUAGCCUUCUUGAGUCGAAAAGAACCGAAAGAAAGGGCCCUCACCCCUCUUUUAGCCCCGACGAUGGAGGAGAGACCUCCCGCGAAGCAACCACAGGCGGUUCCGGUAAGGUUCUUCUCUUCCUUUUCUUUUUAUUUUAUGGCUACUCUUAUUUAAUAGAUUCGUGUUAAAAUAAAAAGGAAAUAUUAGAGAGAUGAAAAACGAAAUGGAAAUAAAGAAAGUAGAAUAAGAGAUCAACCUUUUGUGUUUUUUUCUUUUUAUUUCCAAUGUUCGUUUGAUACGAUUUUUAUAUAUUCAAAGGUUCCCCCUUCCGUUCAGUCCUUCAUUUCGGGUUUUAUAACCCCUUUUUACAUCCUUUUUCUAUUAUUCUAUCCUGUUUUUUUUGUCUUGAUCUUGCAGGGCAUGGAGGUGCUGGUAGUGGAGGAGGAGCAUGCAGCGGCAGAUGGUGUCAGACGCGUGGACACGCGAAGCCAGCGAUUGGCGAGUAGCGGCGGUGGGCGUGCGCAGGAGGUGGCAGCAACAACAUGCGGCUGAGGUUUCUUUUUGUGUUUGAAAGUUGGUGUAGUUUUGGGCCAUUCGGGCCUCUAGGGUUUUUAUUAAUAUUGGGCAUUUGGGCUUGUAGUUUUUGGGUUUAAAUUGGCUGAAAAUGGGUUGCUUUUGUUUUUAUUAUUUGGGUCUAUUUUGCUGGUAUGGGCCCGGGUAUUUUAUUUUCUGAUUUAGGCCAUAUUGGCCUGCUUUAAUGGACUGUGGCAUUUUAUUUAUUUUGUUUUAUUUUUGGCACUUGGCCCGGCAAAUUUGGGCUUCUACAG